RNAcentral lists this unclassified non-coding RNA (1947 nucleotides) under Acyrthosiphon pisum (pea aphid). Its description in RNAcentral is "tropomyosin-like". Lineage: Eukaryota; Metazoa; Arthropoda; Insecta; Hemiptera; Aphididae. The record is from RNAcentral.
GGCGCCGUUCGGGAGAGAGGGAAAAGACGGUGAGAUCAACACGCGCGGCGGGCCAGACGGUGGCACCGCCCGCCCGCCGUCUUGUGCGUCGUUUUACGUUUCUGAACACCAGCCAACAAAACGACACGGAACCGCAGCGGCGUCGUGCGCGUGCAUUUCCUGCGCGUUCACUGCUGCCGUUCACUGUACACGACGCUCCGUCGGCCGUGUGAGAGCGCUGCUGCUGGCACAGCCGUUCCCGUUGACGACGACGCCACCACCGCCACGUUGUGGACGAAGGACGGCCACACGGAUGGACAUCCGCGGUGGACGCGAUAGGCGGCCGGGCGACAGGCGUCCGCACAGGGGCCCUCGGGCACCUAGGCGGCCGCAGUGGUCGCCCGACCAACAGCAACGUGUAGUGGUCGGCGCUGAAACGGCGGCCGGUUCGACAGCCACGGCCUCCACCGCCGGCCCUUGCAAACCGCCGCCGCCGCCACCUCCCCGACUGCUACCGUCACCCAGACUGCCACUGUCACAGCCCCCGCCGCCCCGAUUGAUACGGCCACAGACUCCACCGACGGAACAGCCACAGCCACUGCAGCCGUCGACGCCGAGGUUACCGCCGCCGAUUGGACCACAGCCGCAACAGGAAUGCCGGAUACGGGAAUCCGGUGACGGAGUGGAAGACUGCGAAGAUGCUGCCGGAGGAAGCAGCGUGGCCGAUGACACCGAACUGCUCGCCAAGCUCCGGUGUCCCAGCGAGAGCGCCGAGGUGGUCGCCGAACGGGAGAAGCGACGACAGCGACGACGGUGCCCCGACUAUCCCGGGCUGGCGCUUUCCAGUUCCGUGUUCAGCACGGAAACGGGCAUGAAGUUCAGUAUCAUCAGGAACGAACUACACAACGUGCUCAAGCCGCAACUGCGACGGGCUGAAAGUGAAGUUGCUGCACUUAACAGGCGUAUCCAAUUGCUGGAAGAGGACCUUGAAAGGUCUGAAGAGCGCUUGGCCACGGCCACUGCUAAGUUGGCCGAGGCAUCUCAAGCUGCUGAUGAGUCUGAACGUGCACGUAAGGUGUUGGAAAACCGCAGUUUGGCCGAUGAAGAACGUAUGGAUGCCUUGGAGAAUCAGCUAAAGGAAGCCCGCUUCUUGGCUGAAGAAGCUGAUAAGAAAUAUGAUGAGGUAGCGCGUAAGCUGGCCAUGGUUGAAGCCGACUUGGAAAGAGCCGAAGAACGUGCCGAAUCAGGCGAAUCAAAGAUCGUGGAAUUGGAAGAAGAAUUACGUGUUGUUGGCAACAACUUGAAAUCUCUCGAGGUUUCGGAAGAAAAGGCCACACAAAGGGAAGAAACGUUUGAGGAACAAGUGAAAGGUCUCGGAGCACAGCUCAAAGAGGCUGAGGCACGCGCUGAAUUCGCUGAGAGAUCAGUGCAGAAAUUGCAGAAGGAAGUCGACAGGCUCGAAGACGACUUAACUGGCGAAAAGGAAAAGAACAAACAUCUGCAAGAGGAAAUGGAGGCCACCCUGCACGACAUUCAAAACAUGUAAAAUAACAUACCGUCCCGCGUUUUCCUUCCCCGUCCCUUCUUAGCAAAUUUCCUACUCCUUAUUAAAAAUUAUCUAAUAUUAUUAUUUAAUUUUUUAAACAAUUUUUUUUAUACUUUUACACUCGUUAUAUUUAUGUUUUGUUUAACAUUUCCGCACUCCAUACUAACUUCGUUAUUGCACAGAUGAGUUGGUCGCCGAAAAGGAGAGAUUCAGAGACAUUGGCGACAGCUUGGACCUUGCGUUUGUCGACUUGUAUGGCAUCUAAACACAAAAAAAACACAAACACACAACACACACAGACCUCCUCCUUUCCCGACACACACGAUUCCACUAAAUUUUAUCCAUUUCCGUCGUCUUUAUCUCCGACCACUCUCCUGCAGCUCUACCGAUUACCACACACUACAUUCCCUUUAUAUACAAAA